UACGUAGGGGCCUAGCGUUGUCCGGAAUUAUUGGGCGUAAAGAGCUCGUAGGCGGUUCGGCAAGUCGGAUGUGAAAUCUCCACGCUCAACGUGGAGGGGCCAUUCGAAACUGCCGUGACUCGAGUCCGGUAGGGGAGUGUGGAAUUCCCGGUGUAGCGGUGAAAUUCGUAGAUAUUGGGAAGAACACCCGUGGCGAAGGCGGCCAUCUGGACCGGUACUGACGCUAAGGCGCGACAGCGUGGGGAGCAAACAGG
Molecule: ribosomal RNA, 254 nt
Filed under: uncultured bacterium
Lineage: Bacteria
Description: partial 16S ribosomal RNA
Rfam family: Bacterial small subunit ribosomal RNA
Source: RNAcentral